Molecule: unclassified non-coding RNA, 353 nt
Filed under: soil metagenome
Description: partial contains 5.8S ribosomal RNA, internal transcribed spacer 2, and large subunit ribosomal RNA
Rfam family: 5.8S ribosomal RNA (bases 1-119)
Source: RNAcentral
GAUGAAGAACGUAGCGAAAUGCGAUAAGUAGUGUGAAUUGCAGAAUUCAGUGAAUCAUCGAAUCUUUGAACGCACAUUCGCCUCCUGGUAUUCCGGGAGGCAUGCCUGUUCGAGCGUCAUUAAAAUCACUCAAGCUUAGGUUUACCUAUUGCUUGGUCUUGGAGAUGGAAGCCAAUUUAUUGGAAUCCUCUUCGAAAUUCAAUGGCGAAGACCCUUGCUCUCCCAAGUGUAGUAAUAACUUAUGUCACUGAAGGAAGCGAGAAAUCUUCUGCCGUAACCCCCAUAUUUUCUAUGAUUGACCUCGGAUCAGGUAGGGAUACCCGCUGAACUUAAGCAUAUCAAUAAGCGGAGGA